GUGAACGCCCUCACGGGCUUAUAACUAUUCCAAACCUCUGUGAACCGUGCCCUUCGGGGCUAUUUUACAAACAUGGUGUAAUGAACGCCAUAUAUCAUAACAAAACA
Molecule: unclassified non-coding RNA, 107 nt
Filed under: soil metagenome
Description: partial internal transcribed spacer 1
Source: RNAcentral